This 253-nucleotide ribosomal RNA is filed under the name uncultured bacterium. RNAcentral describes it as "partial 16S ribosomal RNA". It matches the Rfam family "Bacterial small subunit ribosomal RNA", at positions 524 to 776 of the family's 1533-position model. The record is from RNAcentral.
UACGAAGGGGGCUAGCGUUGCUCGGAAUCACUGGGCGUAAAGGGUGCGUAGGCGGGUCUUUAAGUCAGGGGUGAAAUCCUGGAGCUCAACUCCAGAACUGCCUUUGAUACUGAAGAUCUUGAGUGCGGGAGAGGUGAGUGGAACUGCGAGUGUAGAGGUGAAAUUCGUAGAUAUUCGCAAGAACACCAGUGGCGAAGGCGGCUCACUGGCCAGAUACUGACGCUGAGGCACGAAAGCGUGGGGAGCAAACAGG